UACGGAGGGUGCGAGCGUUGUCCGGAAUCACUGGGCGUAAAGGGCGCGCAGGCGGCUGCUCAAGUCAGGCGUGAAAGGCCUGGGCUCAACCCGGGAAUUGCGCUUGAGACUGGGCUGGCUUGAGUGCGGGAGAGGAUGGUGGAAUUCCCAGUGUAGAGGUGAAAUUCGUAGAUAUUGGGAAGAACACCGGUGGCGAAGGCGGCGACCUGGUCCGAUACUGACGCUGAGGCGCGAAAGCGUGGGGAGCAAACAGG
RNAcentral lists this ribosomal RNA (254 nucleotides) under uncultured bacterium. Its description in RNAcentral is "partial 16S ribosomal RNA". It matches the Rfam family "Bacterial small subunit ribosomal RNA", at positions 524 to 776 of the family's 1533-position model. The record is from RNAcentral.